RNAcentral lists this unclassified non-coding RNA (341 nucleotides) under soil metagenome. RNAcentral describes it as "partial contains 5.8S ribosomal RNA, internal transcribed spacer 2, and large subunit ribosomal RNA". The stretch from base 1 to 120 matches the Rfam family "5.8S ribosomal RNA", at positions 35 to 154 of the family's 154-position model. The record is from RNAcentral.
GAUGAAGAACGCAGCGAAAUGCGAUAAGUAGUGUGAAUUGCAGAAUUCAGUGAAUCAUCGAAUCUUUGAACGCACAUUGCGCCCUUUGGUAUUCCAAAGGGCAUGCCUGUUCGAGCGUCAUUUGUACCCUCAAGCUUUGCUUGGUGUUGGGCGUCUUGUCUCUAGCUUUGCUGGAGACUCGCCUUAAAGUAAUUGGCAGCCGGCCUACUGGUUUCGGAGCGCAGCACAAGUCGCACUCUCUAUCAGCAAAGGUCUAGCAUCCAUUAAGCCUUUUUUUCAACUUUUGACCUCGGAUCAGGUAGGGAUACCCGCUGAACUUAAGCAUAUCAAUAAACGGAGGA